Molecule: long non-coding RNA, 1448 nt
Organism: Sander lucioperca (pikeperch)
Lineage: Eukaryota; Metazoa; Chordata; Actinopteri; Perciformes; Percidae
Exons: 2
Source: RefSeq, a predicted model, not a curated record
UUUUGCAAUCUAAUGGCUGUUUUUUGUUUUCACCCCCCCAAAAAAACUGUAUUUUAUUUUUCACUGUUAAACUGUUAUUGUAUUUUUAUUUAAUUUUAUUGUAACAUAAUGUAAUGAAAACAAGUCAGCCAAAGUUCAGAGUUUCUAAGUAUCGUACAUGACGCUGCCAGCGCUGACAGCAGCUCGUAUUACUGUAAAUGUCCAACGACAGAAGAAGUUUUAUACUUUUAAGUUUGCACUCAACAAUAGAAAAAGAAUACAUCCUAAACAUCGUUCAACCCACAGAACUUUAUUUAAAAAAUUCAACUGGAGAUCACAAAGUAUUUUGAAAUGUGUUUUAAAUGGUGCUCAAAACUUCCUGUGCAAAACUAACCAUAACUUUGUAGAGUUUGAUUGAAUGAUGCAGCCAUAAAAAAAACACGUCUUUCAUGGUGUGAUUCAACAAAGCGAAUCUAAAUGAACUCCUGAUUAACAGGUAAACAGCUAGCUCCACAAAGUUCAGCCUCUAAUUGUUUCUUACAGCAAUGUUCUCUGGGAGUUGUAGUUGUCUCCUAAUUAGGGUUUUUUCUUUGUGAGAUUUUACCAGAAAAUGUCUGAUCUGUUGUAAUGAUUUGAGUUUUUUUCUUCUUCAUUUCAUGCUUUAACGCUCCCGUUGUGACCCAGUGGUGUUUACAUUUAUUUGUGUUGCUAUCAGUCUAAAUAUGUUUGUCACAUGAAAGCUUUUAGUGCAGAAAAAUGUGUUGACUCUGUAAUGUAUCACAUGAAUGAUGAUGGUUUGUAUGUAAACACGUGUUCCUGCAGAGGACUCAGGACGGUCCAGUCUGUUUCCACAAGCAAACUGAAAGGACCUUUUAUAAUGCAGAUGGAUUGUGUUUGUAUCUGUAAUGUGCAGAAGAAUCUGUCAUACUUGAAAGGUUGUGCAGAUGUUGAUGACAGUUUUUUUGUGUGUGUGUAUGCGUGUGUGUAUGCGUGUGUGUGUGUGUGUGUGUGUGUGUGUGUGUGUGUGUGUGUGUGUGUAGCCUGUUGGCCGUUUGGAUGUUGUCCCUGUACAGACGAAGUGAACCCAGCAAUCAACAUGUCUGCAAUAUUAACAAUCUACAGUCCAAAUUCCGUUCACAUGGGAUCAGUGCAUUCAGUUUGAUUGAAUUUGUUAUUUAAAAAGUGGAUUAAAAGAAGCACAAGCAUUGCAAAAUGUCAAGGAACAAUUAGCAAUACAAAUGUCAUGAUUGUACGGUCAAACGAGCAAUAUUGGCUUUGAGCUGAUCCCGACCUGCAGCUCCACUCGGCUGUCGUAGACGUGAAAUGUGUGCAGCGACUGAAGUAUUCUGAAUGUAACGUGUUUGGUGUUCUUCGGAUUCCUUCUUUAUGUAUAUUUGUGCUGCCAAGUGUCGCAGGCGGUUCACAUAUUUAUUCACAGAUAAAAACAUUUAAUAAAAGUUAUAAAAUUC